AGUGAUUCGACCCCUGCAGCUGAAAUGGAGCCAUUGUAAUGGCUUUACAUGGAAUGAAGUAACAUAUGUUGCUGACAGCUUUCGUCCUUGCCUUGAGAGUGACUUCUCUAAAGAAACUUAUUGCGAUUAAGAGGCUUCUGGGUUGAAUUUGCUUGCAAUAAGGAACCUAACCAUCAUGUUUAGAACCCUUUUGUUUUUGGUUCUUGCUGUGGCUUAAAGUUGUUUGUUUUAAGUAUCCUUUGUGAUUUGUGGCAUGAAGGUUGACAAACCUACAUGAUUUAUGAACACACAGAAAUUCUAAAAAUGUUGCUUGGGCCGGGAAAGUCAAGAUGCUUAUUUUUCUUCGAAAUACCUAUGGAAUAACCUAUGUCACGGGAAUUUGAGAGAACUACUUUGUAGGAGGGUUAAUCCUUUGGCUUCAAGAGUUUCACAUGAUUGUUUUUCAUAUAUGAUUUAAAAUAUUCUGCAAUACGUAGGAUUUUCAUUCGAAUUGAUUCAGUUUCUGCAAAAGUCAUCUAGAAUUCGUUUGGUUCAAAUGAAGUAUUUCUUUGUUGCAAUACAUACUCUUCCCGCCCAAUCACCCAAUGAUCCAAAGGAAUAUAUGUGUGAGCACUUCCUUUAUUGAAGUAUAGUAUCGGUUGUUUUAAUUCCAACUCUUCACAUUUUGGAAUCUACCCUGGAAAUGGCUAUUUUGAAAGUUUUACUACUAUUUUAUUGUCAUGUUAUAACAUUACAUAGAGUUAAUUUAUCGGUCACUCCAUCAUCUUUUUAAUAAGUUUUUUUGAAAGCUAAUACUUAAUUACCUGUGCAUUACUCUAUCGCUUCAUUCUGUAUGUAGUGGAAGUGUUCUCUACCCAAAAUGAUAUAAGUACGUCUUAAAACGCCAUAGAAAAACUGGUUAUCUUUAUUACAACCCAAUCUUUUUGCUUUUGCUUAUACUUAUAAGCCAAAAUUUAAAUUUUCAACCUUAAAUUUGGAGUUGAUUUUGGGGUUUUUCAUCAAAGUUUAUUUUUUAUUUUUUGCUUUUAGAUCACUAAGGCCCUGUUCGUUUCUUAUGUAAGGAGAGGGUUAAAUUGUGAAUACUCGUGGCACGCUUUUAAAACUGCUAAACGAUGCGUUUCGUGCGAAAACUUUCUAUAUGAAAGUUGCUCUAAAAUAUUAGAUUAAUCUAUUUCUUAAGUUUAUAUAAUAAUUAAAACUCAAUUAAUCACAUAUUAUUACCACAUCGUUUUGCGUGAAACACUUAAUCUUUAUCUUCAUCUUCAUCUUCAGGAGAUUCAAACACCACCUAGAAACACAUAUAUAAAAGUUUUGUUCACAAAUUAUUUUUCGUUUGCAAAUAUGCAAUUUUGCUUAGGCUGUGUUUAGUUCAUCGCAAAGUUUAGAUUUUGGUUGAAAUUAGAGAUGAUGUGACUGAAAAGUUAUGUGUGUAUGACAAGUUGAUAUGAUGGAAAAUGACUGAAGUUUGGAUCCAAACUUUGGAUCUAAACACAGCCUUAAUCCCCAAAUAAGCCAAACGAUGGGGGCCUUAGUUUGUUCAACGUGUUAAAAUUAAAAAAUAUAUUUACACAACUAUAAACAUAAGCAAACACACACACACCACGUUAAAAUUCCGAGAGAGAGAGAACCGAUGCGAAAAGAGCGAUCCCCUCCCGCGUCUUUCAAACGGAGCCCGCGCCCCGGAUUCCCCUCCAUUCCCGGGGGUUUCCAGAUUCCCAGCGAGGGAAAAAGCAAGCAAAAAAAAAAAAAAAAAAAAAACGGAGGCGAGCGCGAGCGCUGCGCAUCCCAGAUGGACGGCGGAUCGGGUGCCAGCGCCACCCGCCUCGCCGAAUCCGGGCCGUCCAUUCCUCCGCUCGGUCGGGCGCCCCGUUAAGCCUGAGCCCCACCCACCCCCCACCCCCGAACCCUCGCCCUCCUCACCCCGCGCACCCCCUCCACCUCGCCGCCGCCGCCGACUCGCCGGGGCUCGCCGCCACCGGUGGUGGGGGGGAGCUCGACCUCCUCGCCCCACGCGCGCAUCCGGACGCCGUCGUUCUGGGCGCGGGAGAGAUCCGUCCGUCGCCCCCCGCUGGGCUUGCGCCAUCCUCUCGCCGGGUAAGCCCUAGGUUUUUUUUUUUUUUUGGUCCGAUCGAUUCCGCCGCGCUCCUAGCCGCGGGUGAGGCAGGAAUCGGGGUGGUUGCGGGGGGCUCGUCGUGCGGUCGAGGGAUUUGGUUGUUCCUAGUAGGAGGGGUUGUACUUGUUCAUCCCGUCGAUCCAGUGGAGGCGCGUGGGAGAUCUCGGUUGGGGGUUUCCGUGGGCUCCGUGGGUUGCCGCUCGCGGUGCAGCGGCGGGAUGUGGAUGGGGAUGGGGAUGGCGUGGUGGGCCGUAGGUGCGAGCAACCCUAGACGGAUUUUUUUUUUGUGGCCAUUUUAGGGUUUACGGGAAUGGAUUUUUUUUUUACCGAACAAGAGAUGUACUCUGAAAAUUGCUGUCUUUUCGUAGCGAGGGGCCUAUAGGAUCAUUGAAGCCUUAGGGACUUAGGGUUUGGGCUGCUUGCAGCUGUAUUUCUCAUUUGUAAACAUUAGACUUCCGUGUCUGCUGUGGGAGGAUGAAAGAAUUGACUUGGGAGCUGAGUUCUAUUAGGUUCACUGGUUUUGUGGAGUAAUGUUUGGAAAUAAUCUGAGGGAGUAUAAGGCUGCUCCAUCGCAGUGCCACGUGUAGCAUUCGGUUCGAAUUUUUCAUUUGUGUAAUGUUUCUUAGCAGUUACUUUUUAUUUUGGAAGUUGGUUCUCCCAAAAAACUUGUGUCCUAUCUGGUUUAUUUGAAGGUAUCUUAGGACAACAAGACGAUUAGAUGCAAAAGUUGAAAGUAGGGGCAUUAACAUAAACCUUGUUGGGUGCAGAAUAUGGUAAUUUUAUACGUAUUAAUUGCGUACGUACCGUUUCCACAAAAUUGUUCAUGUAGUAAUAAAUAACUGCCAAAGAAAGCUGAUGUGACUCCAUGAAUGAAUGUAUACUACGCUAUAUCUGCUGUAUUGAUUGCUGUAGCAAUCCAUUCGUUUUCAGUAUUGUGCUGGUGCAUUGUUUGCAAAAGCAAAUCAUAUUUAUUAAUUUUUCAUUAUUGAGUUGCAGCUUGCAAAUGUGUAUGUAUGUACAUAUUGUGAGAGAAAGUAGGCAUGUCUGAACUCUCAACAUGAUUAUUGUCAUAAGAAAAAUGUUAUCGUUGUUUUUCUCUCUUUUUGGGUAACUGUUUGUGUUUAUGGUUAUAAGUUCUAUAUUAUAAAUUUGUUCAGGCUGGAAUUAGGCUGACCAAAUCCUUGUUUUGAAAUUCGAAUUAUAUUGAUAUAUAUCUUGUACGGUCAUUGCAUUUUUUAUUGUUUUGCUUUAUAACUAUAUAUAGGCUGGCUUCAUUACGUACUCCCUCCGUCCCAAAAAAACUUAACCUAGGCAAGGAUGUGACAUCUCCUAGCACAAUAAAUCUGGACAGUCCUUUGUCCAGAUUCGUUGUACUAGAAAAUGUCACAUCCCUUCCUAGGUUUAGUUUUUUUGGGACGGAGGGAGUAAACUUGUCUAUGUUAAAGUUUGGAAUAUCCAAAGGUCCUCAACCUAGUAUGUACUAUUUUCUUGACCUUAACAUGGAACUAUACAUGACCUUUUUUUUUCCUAUUUUACUGAAUAAGAUGAUUGUUUGUUUGCGGUUUCCUAAAUGUACUUAACUGUUGGUAUUGUUGUGAAGAUGUGACGGAAUUAGUAUUGUGGUAUUACAUCUAUGUCGUAGACAGCUUUUUGGGUUUGCAGGAAUGAAGUACAUAAAUAUCUGUUUGGUGCUGUGGUACAACAAUGUAAAUAGUUUAUUGCAGUGACAAUGUUGCACUGUUGCAUGCAUUUUUGUUAGGAUCAUGGUUGUCUGUUGCCUUGUUAUGCCAUUAACAAAUCUAGAAUAAGUGAAGCAGCUUAAAGUUAUGUUCUCGUGCUCUUAAGAGCAAACAUUUAAGAGGUAUAAUAGCAUUCUGUGUUCAAACUAUAUUUUAGAACCUUUGCCCUUGCUUAAAUAGUUUUAUUUAUAAGAGAUGUUGAGGAGCAAACACUGCAUAUCUUUACACUUCACAUACGAAUAUACUUUGUGCUUUGCUGCCUGGAUUACUGCAUCUACUUUUUUGUUAAAUUCAAUUUCUUGCAUAAAAUGGGGAUAAGUUAACUGAGAGCUUCAGUAGACUAGUACAUCACAACCUAGGUAAUUGGAAGAAUUAGCUACUAUGAUUCUUUGUUGAAACUUAGGUUUAGUAAAAUAGAGUAACCAGAUAAUAGGUUCUAUCAAAUGGAAACUGGAGAAGGUACUUCCAUAGUCGUAUCAUUGUUAAUUUCACCCUCAGUAUAAUAUUAGUGUUGAAUAUAUGAAAGUUUGCUUUCGAUGAUUUCAGGUGAUUUGAGACAAUCAAGAUGGCUUUUUCAUCAGUUUUCAGGAGAGGAAAUGUCAAAGAAUUGAUCUCAAAUGUUUCGGUCUACACUAGCGCAGCAGGUAAUGGCUUUGGCUUUAGGCAGUCUGAGACUCUUGACUGACUUGAGUCUGUAUUUGUGCUAUUUUGAAUAAGGUGCUUGGCUGUUUGAAUGACAAAAUAUACCUCAUUGCAGAGUCAUCUGGAGGAUUGAGCUUGAUUUUUAAGCGUUGGGCCACCAAAAAGACAGCUGGAUCAACAAAAAAUGGCCGUGACUCUAACCCUAAGUAUUUGGGUGUUAAAAAGUUUGGCGGAGAGGUACAAUCUUGUGAUCUGUCAUAUGACUUUCAUGUUUUUUUAUUGUUUAUGACAGCACAAAGUACUUUCUUUAAUCACGUAAAAGUAAUCAGACUUCGGAGAUUUGUGUGUCCCUUCUGAUCCCGUACCUGAACUCCUGAAGCAACUUGUCAUUUUUGUUAUUAGAACAAAAAGGUGAAAAAGAUCUAAACUGUUCCUGAACAUCAGCAUUUGCAUCAUUUUUCAGAAAGUGGAGCCAGGAAACAUCAUCAUCCGCCAAAGAGGAACCCGCUUCCAUCCUGGGAACUACGUUGGCAUGGGGAAGGACCAUACUCUCUUCUGUCUGAAAGAAGGACAUGUGCGAUUCGAGCGCAACAAGCUGACUGGCAGGAAAUGGGUUCAUGUUGAUCCUGUUGCUGGGCAUGUGCUCCACCCUGUCUACGCCAGUGAUUCGACCCCUGCAGCUGAAAUGGAGCCAUUGUAAUGGCUUUACAUGGAAUGAAGUAACAUAUGUUGCUGACAGCUUUCGUCCUUGCCUUGAGAGUGACUUCUCUAAAGAAACUUAUUGCGAUUAAGAGGCUUCUGGGUUGAAUUUGCUUGCAAUAAGGAACCUAACCAUCAUGUUUAGAACCCUUUUGUUUUUGGUUCUUGCUGUGGCUUAAAGUUGUUUGUUUUAAGUAUCCUUUGUGAUUUGUGGCAUGAAGGUUGACAAACCUACAUGAUUUAUGAACACACAGAAAUUCUAAAAAUGUUGCUUGGGCCGGGAAAGUCAAGAUGCUUAUUUUUCUUCGAAAUACCUAUGGAAUAACCUAUGUCACGGGAAUUUGAGAGAACUACUUUGUAGGAGGGUUAAUCCUUUGGCUUCAAGAGUUUCACAUGAUUGUUUUUCAUAUAUG
Molecule: long non-coding RNA, 5606 nt
Filed under: Oryza sativa (Asian cultivated rice)
Lineage: Eukaryota; Viridiplantae; Streptophyta; Magnoliopsida; Poales; Poaceae
Description: long non-coding RNA (OSAT_LNC001522)
Source: RNAcentral